GGGUAUGUAGCUCAAUGGUAGAGCUUUGAAGGAAAUCCUUGACGCGGGUUCGAAUCCCGUCAUACCUU
Molecule: transfer RNA, 68 nt
Filed under: Enterococcus avium
Lineage: Bacteria; Bacillati; Bacillota; Bacilli; Lactobacillales; Enterococcaceae
Description: tRNA-OTHER
Rfam family: tRNA
About the family: Transfer RNA (tRNA) molecules are approximately 80 nucleotides in length. Their secondary structure includes four short double-helical elements and three loops (D, anti-codon, and T loops).
Source: RNAcentral